AAAAUAUCAGUGUUACUACUACUAACAGCUGACUUUCAUUGAACAUUUUAUAGGUACCUUGCACCGUGUGCUGAAUGCUCUUCAUUCAUUCCUUGCUUCACCCAGUAGCCUGAGAGGCUAAUAUCAUUAGCUCAUGUUUGGGAAGUGAGAGAUGUUACCUCUGAUCGACCGAUUCGAUCGAUGUUGGAAAUAUCGUACACGUCCGCCACUGCUGCCGUGUCCACACCGCCUGUGCCACGCUUCUGCAGCCUCAGGUUCUCCAGGAUCUUAGUGAAUCGUGGAUCCUGGGACAAGGGACAGUACGGAGUGUCGUAAGAAGCAAAACUGAUUCACCAUAUUGGCACAUGGACUUAGUGUAGAAAGUAAGGAAGGGUUAUGGAAUGGUGACGAUUUCUCCCUCCACAAAGAAGUAACAUCUGAGCUUUUCCUGGUGGAACCCAACAGGGCUGUUGGCUACGUAACAUUACCUUGCUGAGCUUCGGGAUCCU
This is a long non-coding RNA of Ailuropoda melanoleuca (giant panda), 488 nucleotides long. RefSeq lists it as uncharacterized. The record is from RefSeq and is a predicted model, not a curated record. The transcript has 3 exons. Lineage: Eukaryota; Metazoa; Chordata; Mammalia; Carnivora; Ursidae.